UUUGAUGACCUGGAUCAAUUAUUCCUCCCA
Molecule: non-coding RNA, 30 nt
Filed under: Rattus norvegicus (Norway rat)
Lineage: Eukaryota; Metazoa; Chordata; Mammalia; Rodentia; Muridae
Source: RNAcentral